CCUCCUGUGUGCAGCUUCUGACCAGAACUCCACUCUGAUUCUUACCGUAGCUUUUAGAUAUUUGAGUCACUUUCCUUCCUCUGGUUACUUUCAAGAUUUUUCUCCAUUUUCUUUCACUUUUCAGCAGGAUGUCUGAGUCCUUGGCAUGCAAACGCACUUCCUGAAUCUGGGGAAGCAGGAGACGAAGAACGCCCAGCACCCACUGCUGGCCGGGCUUGGGUGACCCCUGGGACUCUGCAUCUUCCACAGAGCAGAGCAGAAGCCGCAGAGGCCACAGAGCUGGGACAAGGGCGAUCACGAUCACAAAGCCUCUGCCCUGAGGAGUCACCCAGCUGUGUGUGGCUCGGCAGGCAAGGCUGGAUGCCUCCUCCAAGGGCCUGGGGUAUCCAAGGGAGAGAGAAGGCCAUGGCAGUCUCCAGUGGUACCAAGCAUCUGUGGCGUACCCAGCUCGCUGCCGUGGCCACGGAAGAACUGAAGAAAACCCUACCCAGAAAGCGCUAUGCUCAGCGCCCAGAGCGAGACAACCAGGCCUUUGCCAUCGGCCUCUCUACCGGACAGGGCGCCCAGAGCUGGCUGAAAGAUGCUUCCAGUGAUGGAGGAGAGGAGACGGGUCGGAACCCUCAGAGCCAGCUGCCUGCCGUCUCUCUAGACCUUGUCUU
RNAcentral lists this long non-coding RNA (659 nucleotides) under Cavia porcellus (domestic guinea pig). Its description in RNAcentral is "lncRNA (ENSCPOG00000035862.1)". The record is from RNAcentral. Lineage: Eukaryota; Metazoa; Chordata; Mammalia; Rodentia; Caviidae.